This 499-nucleotide ribosomal RNA is filed under the name uncultured bacterium. RNAcentral describes it as "partial 16S ribosomal RNA". It matches the Rfam family "Bacterial small subunit ribosomal RNA", at positions 29 to 523 of the family's 1533-position model. The record is from RNAcentral.
AUUGAACGCUGGCGGAAUGCUUUACACAUGCAAGUCGAACGGCAGCACGGGGGCAACCCUGGUGGCGAGUGGCGAACGGGUGAGUAAUACAUCGGAACGUGCCCAGUCGUGGGGGAUAACGUAGCGAAAGUUACGCUAAUACCGCAUACGAUCUACGGAUGAAAGCGGGGGACCGUAAGGCCUCGCGCGAUUGGAGCGGCCGAUGUCAGAUUAGGUAGUUGGUGAGGUAAAGGCUAACCAAGCCGACGAUCUGUAGCUGGUCUGAGAGGACGACCAGCCACACUGGGACUGAGACACGGCCCAGACUCCUACGGGAGGCAGCAGUGGGGAAUUUUGGACAAUGGGGGCAACCCUGAUCCAGCAAUGCCGCGUGAGUGAAGAAGGCCUUCGGGUUGUAAAGCUCUUUUGUCAGGGAAGAAACAGCAGCUCUAACACAGUCUGCGAAUGACGGUACCUGAAGAAUAAGCACCGGCUAACUACGUGCCAGCAGCCGCGGUAA